RNAcentral lists this ribosomal RNA (328 nucleotides) under uncultured eukaryote. Its description in RNAcentral is "partial 18S ribosomal RNA". It matches the Rfam family "Eukaryotic small subunit ribosomal RNA", at positions 1470 to 1796 of the family's 1831-position model. The record is from RNAcentral.
CCCUUAGAUGUCCUGGGCCGCACGCGCGUUACACUGAUGCAUUCAACGAGCUUAUAACCUUGGCCGAGAGGCCUGGGCAAUCUUGUUAACGUGCAUCGUGAUAGGGAUAGAUUAUUGAAAUUAUUAAUCUUGAACGAGGAAUUCCUAGUAAACGCAGAUCAUCAAUCUGCAUUGAUUACGUCCCUGCCCUUUGUACACACCGCCCGUCGCACCUACCGAUUGGAUGGUCCGGUGAAGCCUCGGGAUUGUGGUUCUUGCCGCUUUAUUGUGGCGUGACCGCGAGAACUGGUCUAAACCUUAUCAUCUAGAGGAAGGUGAAGUCGUAACA